This is a long non-coding RNA of Aedes albopictus (Asian tiger mosquito), 2964 nucleotides long. RefSeq lists it as uncharacterized. NCBI's taxonomy places the organism in Eukaryota, Metazoa, Arthropoda, Insecta, Diptera, Culicidae. The record is from RefSeq and is a predicted model, not a curated record. The transcript is spliced from 2 exons.
AGAAUGUCAGGAAUCCAUGUAUGGUUUUCUGAAAAAAAUCCUGGAGAAAUUUCUUUAAUAAUCCAUGAGCUUCUCAAGCAUGGAGUUGUUUUAGCAGAAUUUAUGAUGAAAUUUCUGGAGGGUAUUGUAUAGAAAUUUCUGAAGAUUGCAUGGAACAUAUGCCUUGGAAAUGUCAUUCGUAAAUUGCCAUAAAAAUCUUCCAAGAGAUAAACAAAGGGUAUAGGAUGUGUUUGUGAACCAAUUUAGAUGACCGCUAAGAUUUUUUUGAUACACCAAAACCUCCAUUUAGGUAAUGAGUCGGGACUGCCUAAAUAGAAUUUUUACCUAAAUGGAUUUAUUACCUAAAUGGAUUCAGUCUAUUACUUAAAUGGAGUACAAGGUUGAAAAGAAGUUCAAGAAGGGAGCGUGACUAGGAGAUUUAAAGGGGGUCAUGCGAAGUUUCAGAGGACUUUCAAGGGAGUCUCAGGAAAGGAGGGGCUUUAGGGGCAUUUUCGGGGGUUUUGGAGGGUCUCAGGUCAAACUUGUCAUUCAAACAACUAGAUGGGCACGAAAAACGAAAAACCCUACAAAAUUCCGCCAGACUGAAAAAUUAUUCAAUGUCGGGUCAAAGUCGGGUCAAUUUUUAUCGUAUGUUGGGCCACUGUUGGACCAACAUCGAACAACUGUUGGGUCUAUAUUGGGUUUGCCGGCUAAAAUGAAAACAGGUCAAUGAUAGGUUGAUGUCGGGUUUGACGUCAUCAAUGAUGGUAAACACAAUCAAAUUCCAUUUAGGUAACGUUACCUAAAUGGAGGGACCUAAAUAGAUUUUACCUUAACGGAUCCUACCUAAUAAACAGAUUUGACUUCCUGAAGAACUUUUCCGAAGGCGGCACUUUUCUAUCUGCUCUGGAUCUCGAAAUAGCGGAGUUUGAAGCUUUACUUGACAACUAGCGCCACCAUGUAGCGAAAUCGCCAACUUAUUGUUGAACCACCAGAUUGCUCUUGACUUCCUGAAGAACUUUGCGAAGACGGUACUUUUCUAUCUGCUCUGGAUCUCGAGAUAGCGGAGUUUGAAGCUUUGCUUGACAACUAGCGCCAUUUAGCGGCGAAAUAACCAACUAAUUAUUGAACCACCAGAUUGCUCUUGACUUCCUGAAGAACUUUGCUCACGACGGCCCUCUUCUAUUUGCUCUGGAUCCCGAGCUGGAGAUGUUUAAAAUUUUACUUCACGAAUAGCGCCACCUAGCGGCGAAAUCACCAACUAAUUGUUGAACCACCAGAUUGCUUUUGACUUCCUAAAGAACUUUGUCGAAGACGGCACUUUUCUAUCUGCUCUGGAUCUCGAGAUAGCGGAGUUUGAAGUUUUACUUGACAACUAGCGCCACCUAGCGGCGAAAUCACCAACUAAUUGUUGAACCACCAGAUUGCUCUUGACUUCCUGAAAAACUUUGCCGAAGACGGCACUUUUCUAUCUGCUCUGGAUCUCGAGAUAGCUGAGUUUGAAGAUUUACUUGACAACUAGCGCCACCUAGCGGCGAAAUCACCAACUUAUUGUUGAACCACCAGAUUGCUCUUGACUUCCUGAAGAUUUUUGCUGAAGACGGCACUUUUCUAUCUGCUCUGGAUCUCGAGAUAGCGGAGUUUGAAGUUUUACUUGACAAAUAGCGCCACCUAGCGGCGAAAUCACCAACUAAUUGUUGAACCACCAGAUUGCUCUUGACUUCCUGAAGAACUUUGCCGAAGACUGCACUUUUCUAUCUGCUCUGGAUCUCGAGAUAGCGUUUGAGGAGUUUGAAGCUUUACUUGAAAACUAGCACCACCAAGCGGCGAAAUCACCAACUAAUUGUUGAACCACAAGAUUGCUCUUGACUUCUUGAAGAACUUUGCCGAAUACGGCACUUUUCUACCUGCUCUGGAUCUGGAAAUAGCGUUUGAGGAGUUUGAAGCUUUACUUGAAAACUAGCACCACCUAGCGGCGAAAUCACCAACUAAUUGUUGAACCACCAGAUUGCUCUUGACUUCCUGAAGAACUUUGCCGAAGACGGCACUUUUCUAUCUGCUCUGGAUCUCGAGAUAGCUGAGUUUGAAGAUUUACUUGACAACUAGCGCCACCUAGCGGCGAAAUCACCAACUAAUUGUUGAGCCACCAGAUUGCUCUUGACUUCCUGAAGAUUUUUGCUGAAGACGGCACUUUUUUAUCUGCUCUGGAUCUCGAGAUAGCGGAGUUUGAAGCUUUGCUUGACAUCUAGCGCCACCUAGCGGCAAAAUCACCAACUAAUCAAUAAAUCGCCAGAUAGUUGUUGACCUACUGUACAACUUUGCCGAAGACAGCAUUAUUCCAAAUAAAGUAGAUCUAGAGAUAUUGCAUGUGAUAACUUAUGAGUGCUUCUACUGGCGAGUGUACAUAGCAACCACUUCUACAUAGCGCCUCUAUCGGCCAAAUUGCCAACUAAUUGGAUGAUAGUUGGCAUUGUGUGGUAGAUCUGUUCUAGUACUACAACUUUGCCAAAGAAAGUAUGGUGCUAUCUUGUAAUACGCCUGAGAUAUUCGCUCACACCCCCAAUUAGGCAAAAUCCCAUAAGCUCUGUGAUUCCCACAACACGGAUUCCUACUGCACCCCCGAACCAACCGUGUAGUAGGAGUCUAGACUGUAAUCAGAUCUAUUUUCCCAUCAAGUGGGGUGGCGGUGGUCUACGUAGUCGUCCUGUCGGACUGCUCAGGUCUUGGAGAGCCAGAUAGUUUGCAGAGCACCAAACCAACCGACCGCAAAGCGGUCGGUUGCGGGAGUAUCGAGCAGUACUUUGUCCUGCCGGCGUCCAUCGAGGCCGUGAUCGUGAGUAGAUGCAUGCGAAGAUUUGAGAAGUGUACACGAUGAAGAAAACGAAUGUAGUGAUUGGCCAAUCGAAGUGCAUGUAAAUGUGGCGAGAAUUUUUUGAUUUAGUAAAUAAAGGUUGAUUUUGAUGCAAUAUUUCAGUAAAUUUUGAA